GGGCACUCUAAGGAGACUGCCGGUGACAAACCGGAGGAAGGUGGGGAUGACGUCAAGUCAUCAUCGGCCCUUACGGCCUGGGCUACACACGUGCUACAAUGGUCGGUACAAAGGGUUGCCAAGCCGCGAGGUGGAGCUAAUCCCAUAAAACCGAUCGUAGUCCGGAUCGCAGUCUGCAACUCGACUGCGUGAAGUCGGAAUCGCUAGUAAUCGUGAAUCAGAAUGUCACGGUGAAUACGUUCCCGGGCCUU
Molecule: ribosomal RNA, 251 nt
Filed under: uncultured Pseudomonas sp.
Lineage: Bacteria; Pseudomonadati; Pseudomonadota; Gammaproteobacteria; Pseudomonadales; Pseudomonadaceae
Description: partial 16S ribosomal RNA
Rfam family: Bacterial small subunit ribosomal RNA
Source: RNAcentral